Molecule: non-coding RNA, 306 nt
Organism: Pelobates cultripes (western spadefoot toad)
Lineage: Eukaryota; Metazoa; Chordata; Amphibia; Anura; Pelobatidae
Source: the annotation of a GenBank genome assembly
CAUGGCUACGGCAGGCAUAGACACCUCCAUAUUUUCACCACACUCCAUACGAGGAGCAAUGGCUUCCAAAGCCUCUUCGAUGGGUUGUCGCCUGGAAGACAUCCUAAAAGCAGCCGACUGGUCUUCAGAAUCUACCUUCUGUUAUUUUUACUUCAAACCAAUACACCACUUUGCGGGAACGGUAGUUUCUCAGCUUUCAACCAGCAUAAUAGGAGCCUCCGUGUCUUAAUAAAAUUCACGGAUUUUACUAUUACCAUGACGUAAAGUCAUGAUUUUAUUAAUGACACGGAGGCGAGUAUUAUCCCU